UUCCCCUAGUAACGGCGAGUGAAGCGGGAACAGCUCAAAUUUGAAAGCUGGCCUUCUGGUCCGCAUUGUAAUUUGUAGAGGAUGCUUUUGGCGCGGUGCCUUCUGAGUUCCUUGGAACAGGACGCCUUAGAGGGUGAGAGCCCCGUACAGUUGGACACCUAGCCUUUGUAAAGCUCCUUCGACGAGUCGAGUAGUUUGGGAAUGCUGCUCUAAAUGGGAGGUAAAUUUCUUCUAAAGCUAAAUACCGGCCAGAGACCGAUAGCGCACAAGUAGAGUGAUCGAAAGAUGAAAAGCACUUUGAAAAGAGGGUUAAAUAGCACGUGAAAUUGUUGAAAGGGAAGCGCUUAUGACCAGACUUUUUCCUGGCGAAUCAUCCGGCGUUCUCGCCGGUGCACUUCGCCAGGUUUAGGCCAACAUCGAUUUCCGCCGGGGGAUAAAGGCUUCGGGAAUGUGACUCCCUCCGGGGAGUGUUAUAGCCCGUUGCGUAAUACCCUGGUGGGGAUCGAGGUUCGCGCUUCGGCAAGGAUGUUGGCAUAAUGGUCAUCAGUGACCCGUCUUGAAACACGGACCAAGGAGUCGAACAUUUAUGCGAGUGUUUGGGUGUUAAACCCUCACGCGUAAUGAAAGUGAACGGAGGUGAGAGCCUUAGGGUGCAUCAUCGACCGAUCCUGAUGUCUUCGGAUGGAUUUGAGUAAGAGCAUAACUGUUCGGACCCGAAAGAUGGUGAACUAUGCGUGGAUAGGGUGAAGCCAGAGGAAACUCUGGUGGAGGCUCGCAGCGGUUCUGACGUGCAAAUCGAUCGUCAAAUCUGCGCAUGGGGG
RNAcentral lists this ribosomal RNA (821 nucleotides) under Circinotrichum maculiforme. RNAcentral describes it as "eukaryotic LSU rRNA". It matches the Rfam family "Eukaryotic large subunit ribosomal RNA", at positions 75 to 923 of the family's 3401-position model. The record is from RNAcentral. Lineage: Eukaryota; Fungi; Ascomycota; Sordariomycetes; Xylariales; Coniocessiaceae.